AACCCACCUCCAUCUCUCAUAAUCUCGGCUCAAACACCCCUCUUUAACCUUCAAUUCUUUAACCAAAAUCAACUAUUUUCUAGUGCUUCUACAUGGAUUUCAAGGGUGCUUGAAGUGUAGCAAGUCUUGGGGAACAUUUGGAGCUUAUUCUUGGCAUCUAGGAGCUUGCCUUCUUGAUCUUCUUCAUCUAGUUCAUCUACUAGAUUCUAGCAAAAUUGUUGAUUAGUCAUGAGAUUUAUGAUGAUCAUGUUGACUCGCAUUUACGGAACACGUUGCUAGGAUAUCUCUCUCAGGAACGCAAAACAGAAACAAGAUGGAUCUUGGGCGCGGGUGUUGUUUUCAAGAUGUAAAUUUCAAGUUUAGGUGUCAUCCACUUUAGUUUGUUUGUAACUUAACUGGAGGUCAUGUUGAU
Molecule: long non-coding RNA, 412 nt
Filed under: Helianthus annuus (common sunflower)
Lineage: Eukaryota; Viridiplantae; Streptophyta; Magnoliopsida; Asterales; Asteraceae
Description: sRNA HanXRQr2_Chr07g0296741
Source: RNAcentral